This 356-nucleotide small RNA is filed under the name Histoplasma ohiense. RNAcentral's name for it is "hypothetical lncRNA". Lineage: Eukaryota; Fungi; Ascomycota; Eurotiomycetes; Onygenales; Ajellomycetaceae. The record is from RNAcentral.
AAAAAAAAUAUCGUCGUAAUGUCUUUUCAUAUGGGAAGAUAUUUCACCCUCUCAUAGUAGCUCGAAAUUUAUCGAACAGGAAUUUUCGGAUUGAGAUACCAGAAGACCUAGUUCCGAAGAGUUGGUCCAUUUGUUUGAAGGCUACUGCUUGUCGCCCACUGCGUAAUAGCGAGAAGCUUUCGGCUUGGCAAACCCAAAGCCGCGAAAUAUGUGCUGCAGCAGGUAAUCUUCUUUGAAUCAGAAGGCAAGCUCCAUUUAUCUGGGGCGUAUUUGAGGCUUGUGAAGCUCAAGGUCGGGAAAGAAGUCCUGGAAACGAUGAAACGAAAGCGGGAGCAAGCUUCAAUAACAAACUACCA